AGAGUUUGAUCAUGGCUCAGAUUGAACGCUGGCGGCAGGCUUUAACACAUGCAAGUCGAACGGUAACAGGAAGAAAGCUUGCUUUCUUUGCUGACGAAUGGCGGACGGGUGAGUAAUGCUUGGGAAUCUUGGCUUAUGGAGGGGGAUAACUACGGGAAACUGUAGCUAAUACCGCGUAGUAUCGAGAGAUGAAAGUGUGGGACCGCAAGGCCACAUGCCAUAAGAUGAGCCCAAGUGGGAUUAGGUAGUUGGUUAGGUAAAGGCUGACCAAGCCGACGAUCUCUAGCUGGUCUGAGAGGAUGGCCAGCCACACUGGAACUGAGACACGGUCCAGACUCCUACGGGAGGCAGCAGUGGGGAAUAUUGCACAAUGGGGGGAACCCUGAUGCAGCCAUGCCGCGUGAAUGAAGAAGGCCUUCGGGUUGUAAAGUUCUUUCGGUGAUGAGGAAGGUGUUUGUUUUAAUAGAACAAGCAAUUGACGUUAGUCACAGAAGAAGCACCGGCUAACUCCGUGCCAGCAGCCGCGGUAAUACGGAGGGUGCGAGCGUUAAUCGGAAUAACUGGGCGUAAAGGGCACGCAGGCGGUGACUUAAGUGAGAUGUGAAAGCCCCGAGCUUAACUUGGGAAUUGCAUUCCAUACUGGGUCGCUAGAGUACUUUAGGGAGGGGUAGAAUUCCACGUGUAGCGGUGAAAUGCGUAGAGAUGUGGAGGAAUACCGAAGGCGAAGGCAGCCCCUUGGGAAUGUACUGACGCUCAUGUGCGAAAGCGUGGGGAGCAAACAGGAUUAGAUACCCUGGUAGUCCACGCUGUAAACGCUGUCGAUUUGGGGAUUGGGUUUUAUGCUUGGUGCCCGUAGCU
This 858-nucleotide ribosomal RNA is filed under the name uncultured bacterium. RNAcentral's name for it is "bacterial SSU rRNA". It matches the Rfam family "Bacterial small subunit ribosomal RNA", at positions 8 to 853 of the family's 1533-position model. The record is from RNAcentral.